Molecule: ribosomal RNA, 253 nt
Filed under: uncultured bacterium
Lineage: Bacteria
Description: partial 16S ribosomal RNA
Rfam family: Bacterial small subunit ribosomal RNA
Source: RNAcentral
GACGAACCGAGCGAACGUUGCUCGGAAUCACUGGGCUUAAAGGGCGCGUAGGCGGGUGCUCAAGUCCGUGGUGAAAUCCUCCGGCUCAACCGGAGAACUGCCUCGGAUACUGGGCGUCUCGAGUGUGGUAGGGGUAUGCGGAACUAUCGGUGGAGCGGUGAAAUGCGUUGAUAUCGAUAGGAACUCCGGUGGCGAAGGCGGCAUACUGGACCACCACUGACGCUGAUGCGCGAAAGCCAGGGGAGCAAACGGG